CGCUGGCGGCGUGCCUAACACAUGCGAGUCGAACUGAGCUGCUUUGAUGAAGUUUUCGGAUGUAUUUAAAACAGCUUAGUGGCGGACGGGUGAGUAACGCGUGGGCAACCUGCCUCACACUGGGGGAUAACAGUUAAAAAUAGCUGCUGCUACCGCCUAGGCGCACGGUUCCGCAUGGAACAGUGGGAAAAACUCUGGUGGUGUGAGAUGGACCCGCGUCUGAUCAGUCCGUCGCUUUGUUAACGGCCUGUCGCACCGACGAUCAGUAGCCGGCCUGAGAGGGUGAACGGCCACAUUGCGACUGACACACGGCCCAAACUCCUACGGGACGCACCAGUGGGGAAUAUUGCACAAUGGGGGAAACCCUGAUGCAGCGACGCCCUGUGAGUGAAAAAUUAUUUCACUAUGUAAAGCUCUAUCUGCAGGGACCAAAGUGACGGUACCUGAAUAAGAAGCCCCGGAUAACUACAUGCCACCAGUCGAGGUAAUACGUGGGGGGCGCGCGUCAUCCGGAUUUACUGGGUGUAAAUGGAGCGUAGACGGCGAGGUCAGUCGGAAGUUGAAAGCCCGGUGCUUAGCGUCGGCACUGCGCUGGAAACUGCUUGGAUGGAGUGGCGGAGAGGUAAGCGGAAUUCCCAGUGCAGCGGCGAAAUGCAUAGAUUAUUACGAAGAACGCAAUUGGCGAAGGCGGCUUACUGGACGUUAACUGACGUUGAGGCUCGAAAGCGUGGGGAGCAAACAGGAUUAGAUACCCUGGUAGUCCACGCCGUAAACGAUGAUUGCUAGGUGUAGGUGGGUAUGGACCCAUCGGUGCCGCAGCUAACGCAAUAAGCAAUCCACCUGGGGAGUACGUUCGCAAGAAUGAAACUCAAAGGAAUUGACGGGGACCCGCACAAGCGGUGGAGCAUGUGGUUUAAUUAGAAGCAACGCGAAGAACCUUACCAGGUCUUGACAUCCCGAUGAAAAACCCGUAACGGGGUUCCCUCUUCGGAGCAUCGGAGACAGGUGGUGCAUGGUUGUCGUCAGCUCGUGUCGUGAGAUGUUGGGUUAAGUCCCGCAACGAGCGCAACCCUUAUUCUUAGUAGCCAGCAGGUAAGGCUGGGCACUCUAAGGAGACCGCCGGGGAUAACCCGGAGGAAGGUGGGGAUGACGUCAAAUCAUCAUGCCCCUUAUGAUCUGGGCUACACACGUGUUACAAUGGCGUAACAAAGGGAAGCGAGCCUGCGAGGGUGAGCAAAUCCCAAAAAUAACGUCCCAGUUCGGACUGUAGUCUGCAACCCGACUACACGAAGCUGGAAUCGCUAGUAAUCGCGAAUCAGAAUGUCGCGGUGAAUACGUUCCCGGGUCUUGUACACACCGCCCGUCACUCCAUGGGAGUCGGAAAUGCCCGAAGUCUGAGACUCAACCGCAAGGAGAGAGCAGCCGAA
This 1427-nucleotide ribosomal RNA is filed under the name uncultured organism. RNAcentral's name for it is "16S ribosomal RNA". It matches the Rfam family "Bacterial small subunit ribosomal RNA". The record is from RNAcentral.